CUGAGUGCCCGGUUUCUGUUUUUCUCCCGGUGCAGGAAAACAUGAAGAACGGGGAAAGUAGCUGCCACAUGCCAAUGUGAAACUCCAAGGAAUCUAGCCAUUCUGAUCUGGCCUUCCAGGUCAUUAGGAGGCUCUGCCAUCAUGUGAGGAGGUACUGCCAACAAGAAGGCCCAAUCAUGAUCCUCCCACAACAAGAGCAGACUGUGAGCGUGGCAAGCUCUAUGCUGAGCACUGGAAGGACAAAAAGAGAUUGGGCACAGACUUCUCACUGAUCCAGGUGAUGAGGAGCUCACAUCUGAGAGGAUGUGACCAUGGAUGACCCACCAGAAUGUCAUGGGAUCCAGCUACAGCCAAGGAAGCACAGAGCACCGUGGGAGCGAUUUAUUGUGCGUGGGGAUGGGGAAGGGGACAUGGGAGGAGCCAUAUUGAGAAAGUAACAUGGGUACUUGGCUUCACAGAGUGUGGCAGCUUUCAUCAGGAAGCGAUGGUGGGGGAACAGCGUCUCUGGCGGAGGGAAGCAGCAGGUGCAGAGGUGCAGAGGUGUGAGGAAUCUGUCACAUUCUAGGAAGGGAGUAUGGUUGGGUGACAAUGCAAGACAGAGAAAGCAAGGAGGGAAGGAGGGGCCUAGCCUGAGGAAUAAAGAAUAAUAAAAGCAGGAAAACAAUUGCUAAGAGUUUGGAUACCUUUUUCUGCCCUUUCAUCUAAGCUUUGCUAGCCAGCCAAGAGAAACCUGGCACUUCCCCUCCCCGAGCUUCCCUUGAAAGAGGAAGGGUUAAUUCAGAACAAGACAAAGAAAUGUCUGGGGACCUAAGUGUGAAAAGGAGAGACAGAGUCAGCCUGAAACCUGAAACUUGAGCAAGUAAAGGGGGCUGGAGAGGAGAAGAGCAAGCCAAGGAAGGGACAAGUCAGUAGCUGAAUCCAAUAAAAACUGCCACGUCUAGCCCUGCACUGGGCCUUGGGGCUAUGGAGACAAUAAGACAGGGCUCCUGGCCCUAUGGCUCAUAGGCUGCCUGGAGAGGCGCACAAGGACCCAGGCAAAGACAAACGAGUGGGCUGCGUUCAGUGGCAGCAGAAGGCCAACGGGCUUAGGGAGCACCAGGAGCAUCUGCUCCAACACAGGGUCUGGGAAAAGCCCUCCUAGAAGAGGGGACAUUGGAGCUGGGCCUUAAAAAAUGAAUUGGAGUUUGCUACUUAGACACUGCGGAGCUCUUAAUUCCCUGUAUCCCACCUUGCAUUGUGACUGGCCACACUGUACUGCCGGCCUACGUCUCUCCUUUCUGCUGAGCUCCAUUGGGUGGAAACUGCAGCUGGCUGGUUC
Molecule: long non-coding RNA, 1318 nt
Organism: Gorilla gorilla gorilla (western lowland gorilla)
Lineage: Eukaryota; Metazoa; Chordata; Mammalia; Primates; Hominidae
Exons: 3
Source: RefSeq, a predicted model, not a curated record